GACGAACGCUGGCGGCGUGCUUAACACAUGCAAGUCGAACGGAAAGGCCCUGCUUUUGUGGGGUGCUCGAGUGGCGAACGGGUGAGUAACACGUGAGUAACCUGCCCUUGACUUUGGGAUAACUUCAGGAAACUGGGGCUAAUACCGGAUAGGAGCUCCUGCUGCAUGGUGGUGGUUGGAAAGUUUCGGCGGUAGGGGAUGGACUCGCGGCUUAUCAGCUUGUUGGUGGGGUAGUGGCUUACCAAGGCUUUGACGGGUAGCCGGCAUGAGAGGGUGACCGGAGACAUGGGGACUAAGAUAAGGACCAGAAUACAACGGGAGGCAGCAGUGGGGAAUAUUGCACAAUGGGCGGAAGCCUGAUGAAGAAACGCCGCGUGCGGGAUGACGGCCUUCGGGUUGUAAACCGAUUUAGACUGUGACGAAGAGUGAGUGACGGUAAUGGGUAAAGAAGCACCGGCUAACUACGUG
Molecule: ribosomal RNA, 468 nt
Filed under: uncultured bacterium
Lineage: Bacteria
Description: partial 16S ribosomal RNA
Rfam family: Bacterial small subunit ribosomal RNA
Source: RNAcentral